AUUUAUUUAGUUUAAUAAAAACAUUAUAUUUUCAUUGUAAAAAUACUAUCAAUAGUAAUAAAUG
Molecule: transfer RNA, 64 nt
Filed under: Elliptorhina javanica
Lineage: Eukaryota; Metazoa; Arthropoda; Insecta; Blattodea; Blaberidae
Description: tRNA-Glu
Source: RNAcentral